RNAcentral lists this ribosomal RNA (468 nucleotides) under uncultured bacterium. Its description in RNAcentral is "partial 16S ribosomal RNA". It matches the Rfam family "Bacterial small subunit ribosomal RNA", at positions 28 to 507 of the family's 1533-position model. The record is from RNAcentral.
GACGAACGCUGGCGGCGUGCUUAACACAUGCAAGUCGAACGGAAAGGCCCUGCUUUUGUGGGGUGCUCGAGUGGCGAACGGGUGCGUAACACGUGAGUAACCUGCCCUUGACUUUGGGAUAACUUCAGGAAACUGGGGCUAAUACCGGAUCGGAGCUCCUGCUGCAUGGUGGGGGUUGGAAAGUUUCGGCGGUUGGGGCUGGACUCGCGGCUUAUCAGCUUGUUGGUGGGGUAGUGGCUUACCAAGGCUUUGACGGGUAGCCGGCCUGAGAGGGUGACCGGCCACAUUGGGACUGAGAUACGGCCCAGACUCCUACGGGAGGCAGCAGUGGGGAAUAUUGCACAAUGGGCGGAAGCCUGAUGCAGCAACGCCGCGUGCGGGAUGACGGCCUUCGGGUUGUAAACCGCUUUCGCCUGUGACGAAGCGUGAGUGACGGUAAUGGGUAAAGAAGCACCGGCUAACUACGUG